Molecule: ribosomal RNA, 409 nt
Filed under: uncultured Helicobacter sp.
Lineage: Bacteria; Pseudomonadati; Campylobacterota; Epsilonproteobacteria; Campylobacterales; Helicobacteraceae
Description: bacterial SSU rRNA
Rfam family: Bacterial small subunit ribosomal RNA
Source: RNAcentral
AAAAUCCUAGUAGUGAUUUACUUACGAAGGCUAUGACGGGUAUCCGGCCUGAGAGGGUGAACGGACACACUGGAACUGAGACACGGUCCAGACUCCUACGGGAGGCAGCAGUAGGGAAUAUUGCUCAAUGGGGGAAACCCUGAAGCAGCAACGCCGCGUGGAGGAUGAAGGUUUUAGGAUUGUAAACUCCUUUUGUUAGAGAAGAUAAUGACGGUAUCUAACGAAUAAGCACCGGCUAACUCCGUGCCAGCAGCCGCGGUAAUACGGAGGGUGCAAGCGUUACUCGGAAUCACUGGGCGUAAAGAGCGCGUAGGCGGGAUAGUCAGUCAGGUGUGAAAUCCUAUGGCUUAACCAUAGAACUGCAUUUGAAACUACUAUUCUAGAGUGUGGGAGAGUUGGGGGGGAAAUA